GCCCCGGUAUCCCAAUGGCAGAGGAAAUGUGCUCAAACCACAUCCAGUGUGAGUUCGAAUCUCACCCGGGGCA
RNAcentral lists this transfer RNA (73 nucleotides) under Nocardioides sp. RNAcentral describes it as "tRNA-Leu". It matches the Rfam family "tRNA". Rfam says of the family: Transfer RNA (tRNA) molecules are approximately 80 nucleotides in length. Their secondary structure includes four short double-helical elements and three loops (D, anti-codon, and T loops). Further hydrogen bonds mediate the characteristic L-shaped molecular structure. tRNAs have two regions of fundamental functional importance: the anti-codon, which is responsible for specific mRNA codon recognition, and the 3' end, to which the tRNAs corresponding amino acid is attached (by aminoacyl-tRNA synthetases). tRNAs cope with the degeneracy of the genetic code in two manners: having more than one tRNA (with a specific anti-codon) for a particular amino acid; and 'wobble' base-pairing, i.e. permitting non-standard base-pairing at the 3rd anti-codon position. RNAcentral also lists the same sequence under 1 other name. The record is from RNAcentral. Lineage: Bacteria; Bacillati; Actinomycetota; Actinomycetes; Propionibacteriales; Nocardioidaceae.